Non-coding RNA from Sphagnurus paluster, 90 nucleotides. The record is from the annotation of a GenBank genome assembly. Lineage: Eukaryota; Fungi; Basidiomycota; Agaricomycetes; Agaricales; Lyophyllaceae.
GCAUUAAUGGGGUAGUGGUAACCUGGGUCGUUGCCAUGAGGCAUCUCUGCGAUCGUCGACCCGCCGGGAGUUCGAUUCUCUCUUAAUGCA